This 198-nucleotide ribosomal RNA is filed under the name uncultured soil bacterium. RNAcentral's name for it is "partial 16S ribosomal RNA". It matches the Rfam family "Bacterial small subunit ribosomal RNA", at positions 330 to 525 of the family's 1533-position model. The record is from RNAcentral.
UCCUUACUCCUACGGGAGGCAGCAGUAAGGAAUAUUGGUCAAUGGACGCAAGUCUGAACCAGCCAUGCCGCGUGGAGGAUGAAGGUCCUCUGGAUUGUAAACUUCUUUUAUCUGGGAAGAAAUGGUUGCUUUCUAGCGAUCUUGACGGUACCAGAUGAAUAAGCACCGGCUAACUCCGUGCCAGCAGCCGCGGUAAUA